CUUUGGUGGUUUAGUACGAGGAAAACACCCGUUCCCAUCCCGAACACGGCCGUAAAGACUUUGUACAGCGACAAUACUUAGCUCGAGAGGGCUUGGGAAGAUAGCUUUCUGCCAAGGU
This 118-nucleotide ribosomal RNA is filed under the name Candidatus Melainabacteria bacterium. The record is from RNAcentral. RNAcentral also lists the same sequence under 1 other name. Lineage: Bacteria; Bacillati; Candidatus Melainabacteria.